Molecule: small nuclear RNA, 18 nt
Filed under: Arabidopsis thaliana (thale cress)
Lineage: Eukaryota; Viridiplantae; Streptophyta; Magnoliopsida; Brassicales; Brassicaceae
Description: snRNA_11760
Source: RNAcentral
UGCGCCCCCGGCGGCCCU